Long non-coding RNA from Panicum virgatum (switchgrass), 644 nucleotides. RefSeq lists it as uncharacterized. The transcript has 3 exons. The record is from RefSeq and is a predicted model, not a curated record. Lineage: Eukaryota; Viridiplantae; Streptophyta; Magnoliopsida; Poales; Poaceae.
GGGUGAGGGAGGGAGUUGCAGCGGCGAAGCCCUGCCAGAUUUUGGAUCCGAACCGCAGGUAUGGCCGAAGAUACGCCAGCCCUACUUGACCGAGUCAUAGACUCAUCGCACCGGUCCUUCCUUGCAGUGGUUCAGCGCGUGAAACUUAACGUGCUGCGUCCACGUCCACCAGCGGAGUUGAUUCCUGUUGACCCACGAUGAGUGCCCAGGUUGAGUGAGGCUGGUCUUCUUACUAUAGGCCGUCUUGCUGAGAGUGAUUUGGCAAAGCUGGACAGGUCCCUACUGACGGCUCUGGUUGAUAGAUGGAGGCCUAAGACACACACCUUCCACCUCCCUUGUGGGGAGAUGUCACCGAUCCUACAGGACGUUGCGAUGCUACUGGGUCUUCCUAUCAGUGGGGAUGCCGUAGGGCCUCGCGUUGUCCCGUCUACGUGGUUGGACGAUCUAGAAGAGCGUUUUGCAAAUAUUGACAUCGCGAUUGAUGUAGAGGAGCACCCAAAAACAACAGGGCGUGCCAAGUCAUGGAUUCUGCAGUUCCAGGUACAUACCUCGUUUUGUUAUGAGUAAUGUUAGAGUUAUGCUUUUGACUAGUGCAGUUAUGGUUUUAUUUUAUAAUUGAUCUUGUACUCAUAAAUGUUCAUCUU